RNAcentral lists this ribosomal RNA (277 nucleotides) under uncultured prokaryote. Its description in RNAcentral is "partial 16S ribosomal RNA". It matches the Rfam family "Bacterial small subunit ribosomal RNA", at positions 524 to 800 of the family's 1533-position model. The record is from RNAcentral.
CACGUAGGGGGCAAACGUUAUCCGGAUUUACUGGGCGUAAAGCGCAUGUAGGUGGUUCUGUAAGUAGGGCGUGAAAGCUCCCGGCUCAACUGGGAGAGGCCGUUCUAAACUACAGAGCUAGAGGAUGGUAGAGGGAGGUGGAAUUCCAGGUGUAGCGGUGGAAUGCGCAGAUAUCUGGAGGAACACCAGUGGCGAAGGCGGCCUCCUGGACCAUUCCUGACACUCAGACGCGAAAGCUAGGGUAGCAAACCGGAUUAGAUACCCGGGUAGUCCAUGA